RNAcentral lists this ribosomal RNA (557 nucleotides) under uncultured Alphaproteobacteria bacterium. Its description in RNAcentral is "bacterial SSU rRNA". It matches the Rfam family "Bacterial small subunit ribosomal RNA", at positions 130 to 721 of the family's 1533-position model. Lineage: Bacteria; Pseudomonadati; Pseudomonadota; Alphaproteobacteria. The record is from RNAcentral.
CCUUUGGUACGGGAUAACUGAGGGAAACUUCAGCUAAUACCGUAUGUGCCCUACGGGGGAAAGAUUUAUCGCCAUUGGAGCGGCCCGCGUUGGAUUAGGUAGUUGGUGAGGUAAAGGCUCACCAAGCCUACGAUCCAUAGCUGGUCUGAGAGGAUGAUCAGCCACACUGGGACUGAGACACGGCCCAGACUCCUACGGGAGGCAGCAGUAGGGAAUCUUGCGCAAUGGGCGAAAGCCUGACGCAGCCAUGCCGCGUGAAUGAUGAAGGUCUUAGGAUUGUAAAAUUCUUUCACCGGGGAAGAUAAUGACGGUACCCGGAGAAGAAGCCCCGGCUAACUUCGUGCCAGCAGCCGCGGUAAUACGAAGGGGGCUAGCGUUGCUCGGAAUUACUGGGCGUAAAGGGCGCGUAGGCGGACAGUUUAGUCAGAGGUGAAAGCCCAGGGCUCAACCUUGGAAUUGCCUUUGAUACUGGCUGUCUUGAGUUCGGGAGAGGUGAGUGGAAUGCCGAGUGUAGAGGUGAAAUUCGUAGAUAUUCGGCGGAACACCAGUGGCGAAGG